Molecule: long non-coding RNA, 3622 nt
Organism: Glycine soja
Lineage: Eukaryota; Viridiplantae; Streptophyta; Magnoliopsida; Fabales; Fabaceae
Exons: 3
Source: RefSeq, a predicted model, not a curated record
UAAUUUAUGAAUUAAAUAUUCAGACUCUUAAUCAUUCACUCCUCUUUUGCCCUUUCACCUCCCCUUUUCUCGUCCCUACGAGAGCCUUGUCGUGGAGGCCCUUGUCGCCUCGCUCAUGCGCCUCCACCUCUACCAUAAGCGGUUGGCAUCGCUGUGCUUCAGCACUGGUGCGGGGUUUGAGGUCCGGCACAGUUGUUGCUCACGGUGCUAUUAGGGUUCAUGAACCUUUCCUGCAUGUGCAAGCCUCGACAAUGGAAGGGUUCCUCGAUUUCUGUGAGUGCGACAUAGAGUCAAGUGACGUUGUAUUCUUGUUGGCAAAACCCUCGUCUCUCACUUGUACCUAAGGAACUAAGGCUUUUUAUUUUUCUUCUCUUAUUUCAAAACCCUUUCUAUAUAGCUUGAUAAUUUCAUUUUUAUAUAUGGAGCGGUGGCUGCCGAAGGUAAGUUUUCAUCUUCUUUGAAUAGCAUUGUUGUUAUUGCCUUCUAAAUUUCUGCAUUGUUAUUUUAAUUUGUGCAAAAGAAAAUGUUCACACCCUUGUUUUUAUUUUCUCUGUAUUGCUUCACAGAAGGAGAAUAGAGAGUGCAACCAAGGGUUCAUCUUCGACUCACCAUGAAGCUUGUCAGCUUUUUCUCUUUUUGUUGUGUUACAUGUUAAUUUUUUACUGUUGUAUUUUUUUAGCAUCUCAUUGGGUGCAUUACAAGGUGAUGCAAGUAUAAAUCUGAUUUUAGAAUCAUUCGAUAAACAUGUGAAAGGCCUGCAUUCUGCGCUUAUGAACAAGGAAAGGAUAUUCUACUUGCUUUGUUGGAAAAUCCCAUUUUGGUAUCAGCCUUAAACUCUUUGAAGGCUAACUCAAAGAGGAAGUUCUCAGUAUCUGUUGAGUCUAGUCCAGAGAGAUCAAAAUGGGUUUAUAUAUAUUCCAGAGAGAAUAUGCUACCAUUAACCCCACCCUUGUUGAUGUAAUUUUUUAACCUUUUGUAAUGUCAUUAAACUAAUAUGUAUUACUUCAAAUGUAAUCAUUUCCCUUUUACUUCAGUGGUGAUGUCUAAGAGAUAAUUCAUGUAAAAUUGUAAAUUUAAUUUUAAACUAGUUCACAGUUCAUUAUUGUAUGCAACUAUUAACACUACUAAAUAUUGAGCCUUUUACGUCACUGAUUCUAAGAAGGUUGUAAAGGAUCAUCUUAGAAAGCGCAGCGGUAGCAUUUUCGUAAUUAACUCGAAUGCAACAACGGUGUUUCCACAAACCCUUCGUUGAUGAGGCAUUCGAUGAAAAACUUGUAAAUUUCUUAUUUUGAUACAAAGACGGUCUUGUUCUCACGACCGCCUUUGUGUGGUUGGUGCUGGCUUACACUGCAACUCACCUUGUCUUAGAGAAGACGAAACACAUUCUCUCUCUCUGUGAUAAUCAUAUCUUAAGUAAACAAACAAAAGAAGAAAAAUAAGAAAAGAAAAAGAGAACCAAAUGUUCUUCGCUUUUUCAUUCUAUCGCCAUGUGAUUUCUGACACAUAAUAUUCUUCUUCUCGUGUUCCCUUUUUACUUCAUACCUCGCUGGUUUCCCCUGACUCACCAACUUGGUGAGUCAACUCGAUGGCCUCAUCCUCACGUGCAAGGAGUAGCUCACCAUUCUUGCACCGCAAACCCUCAACUCCUCUUUCCUCAGCUUCCUCUUCCACUUCUUCCUUCACGAACGGACGCAUAAUGCCUCGCUCCUGUUCCUCUUCCACGUCGUUGUUUUACAACUCCGGUGGUGGUGGACGAUCCAUGACUCUGAGUCACGGUCACAGCGAGUCUGUCUACUACGGCUAUAGUAAUCCUUCGCUGGUGGAGUUUGGGAUGGACGAGGAGGUGAUCACGGAGCUCGUGGAUUCGUCCAGAGCUCGAAAUAGCAUUUUGGUCACGAUUCGGUUUAGACCGUUGAGGUAAUGCUUAGAUUUGUUGCUAUGGAAUCAGAUCCAUUAGUUGUGGAUUUUAGAGAAACCGAAUCUUCGAUUUGUUUCUAUUUUUGUCGCGUUGAGUUAUCUAAGAUCAAAUGAGAGGUUAUGGUGUUGUAUAGUUGCAGUGAAAGAGAGUACCAUAGAGGAGACAAGAUCGCGUGGUAUGCAGACGAUGAUAAGAUUGUGCGCAAUGAGUAUAAUCCAGCUACUGCUUAUUCGUUUGGUAUUUUUAUUUCAAACUAUAUUUUCUUCAUGUGACUUUUUUUAGGGAACUAAUGGAGAGAAAUUAGGUUUUUGCUUUUAAUGUUGAGACUAUGGAAAUGGAUCGGAUGUUAGAAUUUUGAAUUGAUUUGUGGCAGAUAGAGUGUUUGGACCACAUACGAAUUCCGACGAGGUGUAUGAAGUAGCUGCCAAACCUGUGGUGAAGACUGCCAUGGAAGGUGUAAAUGGUAUGAAAUCUGGAUUCAAGGCUUUAUAUCAUUAUCACAAUGGGAAUGUGAUAUUUUUAGCAGUGUCUGAUUUAGUAGCAAUAGCAACUAUCGAGUCAUUCUAUUUUUUUAUCUUAGAAACCUACAUUCUAAGAUUUGAUGGAAGCUGCUUUAGUUUCAACUGUGUAUCUAGUUGAAUAACUAGAUUUCAAUAGUUCAUAUGUAGUGGUUGUUGGUUUAGUAUUACAAUGGCUGGUGGAGUUAGCUGGGUUUGGAAGAUAACUUAUGAUCCCAGAGGUAGGUUGUUAUUCUCUGUCUCCUCAUCAAGCCUUAUUCGGAUUCAGGGACUUUUUUAUUUUUUAUAAUUAUAGGAACCCAAUCCAAUUGCAUAUUCAAACUAUAGGAAAUCUGAAUUCUCUAAAAAAGUAUAAGGAAGAGAGCACUUUAAUUUUACUUUCCAAAGUUUAUUUAUGUUCUUGUUCUUAUGGGUUCAUCAAUGAAUACUUUGGUGUUGAGUUUGUAGUGUUUUGUGUUGUAUCAAUUUCGAAAGGAGUAGCGCUAUUCUCAUAGCACCGCAUUACCAAAUCACAAUUUCUGGUAACUGCUUCUGAUUCUAUCCCUAGUUUAACAGUGAAAGUGUUAGUUGGUCUCUACCCCUUUAAAUUUAGAUAGAGCCAUGUGUAGCUGUGACUUCAACAGUUGCAAAUUUUCUAUGGACAUUUUGAUUCUAUUAAACACUGUCCUCUUUCUCUUUAGCUUUCCUUGAUUUUGGUUUGUCAUAAUUUUGUCCAGGUAUUAUACUUUUUCUCCACUACCAUUGGAAGACAACAGUGGUUUAAGUCUUGCACUCCGGGCAAUAAGUAAUCUGAAAGCGAAUGCAUCUAGAUUAACUCAGCAUAACAAUGUAAAGCCUAUUGUCGAUUCCAAUUUUUCUAAGGCUAAACCAGAACAUUCUUUGGACUCACAAUUCAAACCGCCAGAAGCUUCACGACUAGUUUCUAAACUUCAAUCAUCAUUGGUGCUUUCACCAGGAUUUUUUUAUGGCAACGAUUCAGGAAAACCAAGAUCUGUUUGUUGGUACCAAUGAAGCAACAACAUGUGGUGGUCUUGUUAUUUGGCACCCAAAGAAUGGAAGGUAAGGACUAUGGAUUUUUUCUUGGUCUAGACAUAAUUAAGGACUAAGGAUUUGUUGCUAUAUAAAUAAAAAGUUAACUGUAUAUAAGUUUUGAAAAUGUUCCUUCUACCAGGUGUUCAAAUAUUGA